CCUUCCCUUUCCUCCCCGCUUUCAGCUCCCCAGGCCCCGAGGCUCCUCUCGCGCCCCCUUCCAGGCUGGGCCUAUCGGCCCCUAUACGGACGCACCCCAUCCUCUCCGAGCCCCCAGCCCCUCCUCUCGGUGUUCCUCAUCCGUCACACCCAGUACCCUACCCGCCCAUCCUGCCCCGCACUUCGCGGGGGGCGGGCUUGGAUCCUCGAGCCCAAGGGGUUAAAUCUGAGGUCUGCGGAAGCCUCGCGCUCCCUUCCUAGUCCCAGGAUCUGUUCCUGGCUUGCUGCCCGCCCCAGGAAUGUGGGGAAUGUGCCUCCCCCAGAGGGAGGGUCCUGAUGAUGGAGGAGCCCCCCGCCCCCGUGUUUCCUUCUUGCCAGGGUUGAGUCUGGGCCGGGGAAGACUUGAGGGCAAGGGGCAGACGUCGAAAAGAAAAGGGCGGAGAGCUCGGACUUUGGGGUCCUGGGUGACUGAGGAUGAGAGUUGGGGCGACCUGGAGGGAGAGGGCCUGAGCUUGGAGCUCCAGCCCUGGUCGGGAGUUUGCAGACUGAGACCACUAAGUACUGAAAGGUUCUAGCACCGUGGUGAUGGAUGCACAACCCUGUAGACAUGCUAAGAGGAGUUGAACUGGAUGCAUCGGUGGGUCGCACGGCAUGGAAAUUACGUCUCCAUGAAGUUGUUCCAAGGAGCGAGAGGUGAGGGCAGCUGAGGCUGAGCCCUGGUCCCUGAGAACCAGCAGGAACCAAAGACCAGGGACACUGAGAGGGAGGAAAAGCCUCCGCCCGGAUCCCCAGGACUGGGCUGUGAACUCCCACUCAGGAUGUGAGCUGGAUCUGCCCACCCCCCAGGAAGGGCUGUGCUGGAUUCUGACCCAAGAGUCAGAACUGUGGCGAGGGGAGUGGGGACCGGGUCCUGCUCUGGGAGGGAACUGGGCAGGCUGGAGGGCUGGAGGGGGCCACCCUUGACCGUGAGUGGUGAAGGCCCCAAGGCAGGCGGAGAAAUCCAGCCCCAGGCCCACAGUCGUCCAGGCUGCUGCUGCUCACUCCCCAGACCGGCUCCGGAUUUCUGCUGCAGGGGUGGGCACUGUGAUGAAUGCAAUUAAUUAAUUAAUUAACCAGGCGGCUGAGGCAGCAGCUGAGGCCUGGGCUCUGGGCACGCAGGACUUCAAGGGGCCCCUUCCAGAGUCCUGCCCCACCCUGCCAUGGGCAGGGGGUCAGACCGUCAUAUAAGCUACGAGGUGGUGGUGGCAGGGAGAGGCUGGAAUCCCUGAGGAGGUGUCCAGGCCGGAAUCCCAGAGCUAGAUCCAGCCUCCUCCCUCAGGCCCAGAAGUUCAGGCCCAGAUUCUAGCCCAUAAAUCACUCUAUCUGUCCUCCCUGCCUUGGUCAACCCCUGCCUGCAUCUCAAGGUCUCCAGCUCUAUGUCCCUGUCCCCUAAAGUUCCCCCUAGGCCUUCACCACCACCCCCCACGCCGCCAUGGACGGAAGCCUGCAGGUCCAGUCCGCAGGGGCAGGAAGUGUGUUUGGGGACCCAGCUGACAGCUCCAUAGCACUGUCACCAGUCUGACUUGCCCUGGGAAGCGGAGGACAGCCGGAGCUGUCACAGCCACUCUCCCCCGGCGUGGUGCUGGCCUUGUCUCUGCCAAGGUCAGGGAGAAGCAACCGCCCGCACUGGACUGGACACAGUCCUCACUUGGGCCCAGUGCUCCUCCCGCUUCUACCCCUGCCGCGCUGACCUGCCAAACCCCAGCCGCACACUCCCUUCUCUCCUAACUCUCACUCUCCGCCGCUCCCCAGUGCCCUCAGGACAAAACCCUAGUUCUAACUCAACCUCAGCCUGGGCACCACAAUUCCUAUCUCCCUCUCUUUUGCUCCGUGCACCUCUCUGUGGGGCUUCUGACAGUGGGCAGCCCUGUCUGGACUCUGGGGACACUGAUUUCUGCCCCUGGGUCUGAAAUGCCAGUGGGGGGGGGGGAUAAGCAGGGUUCUAGGUGACAGAUGGUGGUCAGUGCUGUGAGACAAAAGAGAGCAAGAUCUAGGGAUCCUUGCUGUCCAUGUGGUGGUCAAGGAAUGCUUCAGUGAGCAAGAGGCCUGGAGGGAGGGAAGGCGGGAGCAGUAGAGACUGGUGCAGGAGUGCGAGCAGCAAGUGCAAAGGCCCUGGGACAGGACUCAAAUGGCAUUUAAGGAGCAGUGGGAAGGCCAGCCCAGGGGCGAAGAGGUGAGGAAAAGGGUAGAUAAAGGCAUGCAGCCUAUUUGAGCAACCGUGAAAUCAAGCUUUGUCCUGAAUGAGGAGAGAGCUUCAUCAGAGCAGAGAAGGGGCACGUGAUCUGCCAUAGCCACCCUUCGGGGACAUCCCGAGGGGCCCCUACCAUCUUCCUAGACCAGGGUGGGGCCCAGGGAGGAAUCCCACAUGGUCCAGUAGAUACUGUUGCAGAUAGGGCCUGCAGGAUUUUCUAAUGGGCUCCCUGUGGGGGAAGGGAGAGACAAGUCAGGAUGACUCCAAGGUUUUGACCCUGCACUCUCUCCUGAGACAGAAAUGCCUUAAAGUUGGCCUCCUUGCCCCUUCCCCUGGCUGGAACUGUCCUGUUCAUUCAUUCAGAACUGGAGACUGAGAAAGGUGGCAUCAGGGGAUGUCUUGGUUACUCUUCUCACACUGAGACAAAGCACCCGACACCCACAGUUAAAGGAGGAAAGGUUUAUUUGGCUCACAGCCUGUAGAGGUUUCAGUCCCUAGUCGGCUGGCUCCAGGGCAGGGUGGCGUGGCAGAGGGGCUUUGCAGAGGAGAAACAGUCUAUGGCAAGCAAGCAGGUGAGAGCACAUUGGCCCUCUUUCUGUCCUUUAUAUUUUAUGCAGGUUCCCCUAGGCAGGGAACCCUUACACCCUUAAUCCUAGCAUCACACACUCUAGAUCCAGCCACCUCUGACUAAGGCCCACUGAUGACCACGCAGGGCUUUGGGGGACAUCUACACGCAGCCGUGGCAGGUGGGAUUGAGCAAAUGGAACCUAGGGCCGCAUUCAUUCAGUCCUUACACACUGAGCAUCUGCCACCAGUCUGUCGCAGACCUGGUAGUGGCUGUGAACAGACAUCCCUGCCCUGGGGUGCUGGUGUCCCAGGAGGACAAGACACCAGGUGGCUGAAACAGGAAACGCAAGGAGACCCCACCCUGGGGGGAGAGAUCUGCUUAGGAGAUUUGCCCCAGGAAGUUGAAUGGUUCCGUUUGAUUUCUGGUGACACCUUCGUAGGCCACCUUGCUGUCUGCAAUCCAUUCUGUUCAGCUCACCCCCUGCCCUCAUACCUCCCUGGCUGAAAUCAACUCAUUCUCCAGCUGAAGAGCCAUCUAUGGCUCCCAUGUGCCUCCCCCACACCUCCAGGACCCUGAGCUCCUUGGCCCCACGCUGGUUUGCUAUUUCUGUGAUGGCUCAUGAAAGCACACAGUGGCUUUUCCCGAGUGCCCUUCCCUUUGGGCACCCUGAGGUGACAGGUCCUAGCAUCUAAGGGCUCUGGCAGGAGCUCAGAGGAAGCCCCUGUGUGGGAGGGAGCCUCUUCCUCAGCCCACCUGACUGACCCCCAGGAGCCCCAUCUGCUGAGUUUUGCCUGGAUUUUAUUUUUUGUUUUUUGUGGUGCUGGGGCGGAGGGCACACACCUGUAAUCCUAGCACUCUGGGAGGCUGAGGCAGGAGGAUCCCAAGUUCAGACCCUGUCUAAAAAUAAAAAAGAGCUGGGGAUGUAGCUCAGUGUGAAGGCCCUAAGUUCAAUCCCCAGUGCUAAAAAAAAAAAAUCAGUAAAUGAAACCCCUGUGGGCCCCAGAAAGUGCAGGCAAAACCAGAUGUGGCCCCAGGGGGCAGUGCAAACCCCUGGGGCUGGACCCACCCUGCCGGUCUGCAGAGAGUGCCCGGGGCCCCUGUCACAUGGAGGAAGCUGGGCUGGGGAAGCGGUCACUUGGCUGGGAAGGGAAGGAGGAGGGAGAGCCCUCAUCUGUCUGUCACAGGUUUGAGGCUCAACACCCAGCUUCCAGCCUCUUCAGAGGGUGCGUCUCUUUCCUGAGGUGGCUUAAGUGUGACGUGCUGUGUGUGUCACUGGAGGCCUUCACUCAUGGCCCCCUGUCGAUGUCCCCCAGCUCCCUGGAGAUGGGGCGGCACCCUGGGCCCUGGCGCAACCCGAACCUCAUCAAGGGGCACUUGUAAUUACAACAACCUCCAUGGCGUUUGUUUAACAAGCUCUGAUCUCCAGCUUCCUGUGGCCCCAUUAGUGCUUCACAAAUAUUCUUGAACCCUCAUAACUACUCCUAGGACACAGGGCCCUGUUAUUAUCCUGAUUUUAUAGCUAGGAAACUGAGGCACAGAGAGAGUAAGACUUGGGGAAGGCCACAACGCCAGGCAGUGGCAGAGCCAGGAUUCAAAAACACAAAGUCUGUGCCUGUGGUCAUCGUGCUGUACUGUCUUGCACGGCCCAGAAACAGUCUUCCUUAUUCCAGUUUUAUUAAAAGGGAGAACACGGAGGGGAUAUAGCCCAGUGGUACAGCAUUUGCCUGGGAUGCUCCAGGCCCAGGAUUCCACCCCAGCACUGCAGAAAAGAAAUGACGAGAAAAGAAGGGAAAAGGAAAGGAAAAGAAAGAGAAAA
Non-coding RNA from Heterocephalus glaber (naked mole-rat), 4613 nucleotides. The record is from RefSeq and is a predicted model, not a curated record. Lineage: Eukaryota; Metazoa; Chordata; Mammalia; Rodentia; Bathyergidae.